Molecule: ribosomal RNA, 822 nt
Filed under: Clostridiales bacterium
Lineage: Bacteria; Bacillati; Bacillota; Clostridia; Eubacteriales
Description: partial 23S ribosomal RNA
Rfam family: Bacterial large subunit ribosomal RNA
Source: RNAcentral
CCGUGUGCUUACAAGUAGUCAGAGCCCGUUAAUGGGUGAUGGCGUGCCUUUUGUAGAAUGAACCGGCGAGUUACGAUCUGAUGCAAGGUUAAGCAGCAAAUGCGGAGCCGCAGCGAAAGCGAGUCUGAAUAGGGCGUUGAGUAUUUGGUCGUAGACCCGAAACCAGGUGAUCUACCCUUGGUCAGGUUGAAGUUCAGGUAACACUGAAUGGAGGACCGAACCGACUUACGUUGAAAAGUGAGCGGAUGAACUGAGGGUAGCGGAGAAAUUCCAAUCGAACCUGGAGAUAGCUGGUUCUCUCCGAAAUAGCUUUAGGGCUAGCCUCAAGUGAUGAUUGUUGGAGGUAGAGCACUGUUUGGACGAGGGGCCCCUCUCGGGUUACCGAAUUCAGACAAACUCCGAAUGCCAAUCAAUUUAACUUGGGAGUCAGAACGUGGGUGAUAAGGUCCAUGUUCGAAAGGGAAACAGCCCAGACCACCAGCUAAGGUCCCAAAAUAUAUGUUAAGUGGCAAAGGAUGUGGUAUUGCCCAGACAACUAGGAUGUUGGCUUAGAAGCAGCCAUCAUUUAAAGAGUGCGUAAUAGCUCACUAGUCGAGUGACACUGCGCCGAAAAUGUACCGGGGCUAAACAUAUUACCGAAGCUGUGGAUUGUCCGUAAGGACAAUGGUAGGAGAGCGUUCUAAGGGCGUUGAAGCAUGAUCGCAAGGACAUGUGGAGCGCUUAGAAGUGAGAAUGCCGGUGUGAGUAGCGAAAGACGGGUGAGAAUCCCGUCCACCGAUUGACUAAGGUUUCCAGAGGAAGGCUCGUCCGCUCUGGGUUAGU